RNAcentral lists this ribosomal RNA (462 nucleotides) under uncultured bacterium. RNAcentral describes it as "partial 16S ribosomal RNA". It matches the Rfam family "Bacterial small subunit ribosomal RNA", at positions 29 to 507 of the family's 1533-position model. The record is from RNAcentral.
ACGAACGCUGGCGGCGUGCUUAACCCAUGCCAGUCGAACGGAAAGGCCCUGCUUGCAGGGUACUCGAGUGGCGAACGGGUGAGUAACACGUGGGUGAUCUGCCCUGCACUUCGGGAUAAGCCUGGGAAACUGGGUCUAAUACCGGAUCGGAGCCAUUUUUAGUGUGCUGGUUGGAAAGUUUUUUCGGUGUAGGGUGAGCUCGCGGCCUAUCAGCUUGUUGGUGGGGUGGUGGAGUACCAAGGCGGCGGCGGGUAGCCGGCCUGAGAGGGUGGACGGCCACAGAGGCAGAGAGAAGGGGCACAGACGCAAGGGGGAGAGAGGGGGGGAAGAUUGAACAAGAGGGGCAAGAGUGAGGUGGAGAGGCGGCGGGGGGGAGAACGCGGCGUGGGUGGUAUAAACACUUUGCAAGGGACGAGGAGCUUUGUGACGGUACCUAGAUAAGAAGCACCGGCUAACUACGUG